This 499-nucleotide ribosomal RNA is filed under the name uncultured bacterium. RNAcentral describes it as "partial 16S ribosomal RNA". It matches the Rfam family "Bacterial small subunit ribosomal RNA", at positions 28 to 523 of the family's 1533-position model. The record is from RNAcentral.
GAUGAACGCUAGCGGCAGGCCUAAUACAUGCAAGUCGAGGGGCAGCAGGAAUAGCAAUAUUCGCUGGCGACCGGCGCACGGGUGCGUAACACGUAUACAAUCUGCCUUUAACAGGGGGAUAGCCCGGAAAAAUCCGGAUUAAUACCCCAUAACAGUGAUCUUGGCAUCAAGGACACUUAAAAGCUCCGGCGGUUAAAGAUGAGUAUGCGUCUGAUUAGCUAGUUGGUGAGGUAACGGCUCACCAAGGCGACGAUCAGUAGGGGAUCUGAGAGGAUUAACCCCACCACGGAUACUGAGACACGGAUCCGACUCCUACGGGAGGCAGCAGUAAGGAAUAUUGGACAAUGCCCGCAAGGGUGAUCCAGCCAUGCCGCGUGCAGGAAGACGGCCCUAUGGGUUGUAAACUGCUUUUACACCGGAGAAAACCCCACUACGUGUAGUGGGCUGAUAGUAUGGUGAGAAUAAGCAUCGGCUAACUUCGUGCCAGCAGCCGCCGUAA